UGUCAAUGACCUUGACAUACAGGCAGAACUCGUCCUUGGCUGUAAAACAAUCAUCGGGAAAAAUCUGGUUUGGGAUGAAAAACUAAACUGCUUGUUAUGGAUUGAUAUUGAAAGCUCCA
This 119-nucleotide non-coding RNA is filed under the name Chattonella subsalsa. The record is from RNAcentral. Lineage: Eukaryota; Raphidophyceae; Chattonellales; Chattonellaceae.